Molecule: ribosomal RNA, 253 nt
Filed under: uncultured bacterium
Lineage: Bacteria
Description: partial 16S ribosomal RNA
Rfam family: Bacterial small subunit ribosomal RNA
Source: RNAcentral
UACAGGGGGUGCAAACGUUGCUCGGAAUUAUUGGGCGUAAAGCGCACGUGGGCGGUUUGUUAUGUCGGAUGUGAAAGCCCUUGGCUCAACUGAGGAAGUGCAUCCGAAACUGGCAAGCUAGAGUAUGUAAGAGGGUCGCGGAAUUCCCGGUGUAGAGGUGAAAUUCGUAGAUAUCGGGAGGAACACCGGUGGCGAAGGCGGCGACCUGGGACAAUACUGACGCUGAGGUGCGAAAGCGUGGGGAGCAAACAGG